GCCAAUAUGGUGUAGUGGUCUGAGCAUAAGACUAGGACUCUGGGGAUCAGGAUUCAAUUCCCUGCUUGGCCA
Non-coding RNA from Phrynosoma platyrhinos (Desert horned lizard), 72 nucleotides. The record is from the annotation of a GenBank genome assembly. Lineage: Eukaryota; Metazoa; Chordata; Lepidosauria; Squamata; Phrynosomatidae.